UACGGAGGGGGCUAGCGUUGUUCGGAAUUACUGGGCGUAAAGCGCGCGUAGGCGGACCUGCAAGUCGGGGGUGAAAGCCCGAGGCUCAACCUCGGAACUGCCUUCGAUACUGCGGGUCUCGAGUCCGGGAGAGGUGAGUGGAACUCCGAGUGUAGAGGUGAAAUUCGUAGAUAUUCGCAAGAACACCAGUGGCGAAGGCGGCUCACUGGCCCGGUACUGACGCUGAGGUGCGAAAGCGUGGGGAGCAAACAGG
Molecule: ribosomal RNA, 253 nt
Filed under: uncultured bacterium
Lineage: Bacteria
Description: partial 16S ribosomal RNA
Rfam family: Bacterial small subunit ribosomal RNA
Source: RNAcentral